Molecule: long non-coding RNA, 8192 nt
Filed under: Chlamydomonas reinhardtii
Lineage: Eukaryota; Viridiplantae; Chlorophyta; Chlorophyceae; Chlamydomonadales; Chlamydomonadaceae
Description: long non-coding RNA (CREI_LNC001185)
Source: RNAcentral
CGCCCUUGUUGCUGUUGGUGGUGGUGGUUGCGGGCUGGUGUGGCGCGGCCGUAGUGACAGCCGCAGCGCCGCCCACGGCACCCGCUGUCACUGUUUCCACCGCCACCGCCGGCUGCUGCAGCCGGCGCAGCAGGUAGGCCUCCUGCUCGGAAGGAGUCAGGAAGUCCCAUUCCCAGUACGGCACUAGUAGGACGCCGCCCUCCUUAAACGCCCGCCGCAGCUGCCGAAUGCGAAUGGCCGUACCCCCUUCCACAGCAGCGCUGGGGUCUUGCUGCUGCGUUUGUGUCAAGAGGUAACGUUUCGGUCCGAGGAACUCCACCGCCGCCUGCUGCCCGUCACUCAGCCGCACCACCGCAUCCACUGGCGCCAACACUCCUGGCGCGACAACGCCCGUCUGAAGGGACUGAACGGCUAGGCCCCCUGCUGCCUUGAGGCCCUGCUGCUCAAGCCGCCGCAGCGCUGCAACGACCUGCUUUUGAGUAUCUGAUGUGGGCUUGGCGUCUUCCCUCUCAGUAGUCACCGCCGCUGCCAUCGCCGCCUGCAGUCCGCUGCCGCUGCCCAGGGCCGCCGCCACCUCGCCGCCUAGCUCCUGCUGCGCCUGCCACAGCUGUUUGAGAUGCUCAGUUGUAAGACCCUCCCAACGGCUUACUGCUUCACGGGCCAGCUGAAUGGAUAGCUGCUUCAUGUCGGGAGAAUACGUGCCUCCGAACACAGCCAUGGCCCACAGGCUGUUGCAUACGUGCUGGUGCAGGACUGUGUCAGAGUCAUGCUGCAGCAGCUCGCCCAGCCGACCGCACACCGCCGCCUCCAAGCCAGCGUGCCGCAGCUGCAGCACCGCCAGCGCGUACAGCGUAUUGGCACAGUUCUGACCACCGGCACUACUGGCGCGCAUGGCUGCUACUGCUGCGCCCGAGUCAAGCAGCUCCGCCGGCGGCUGGUGGCGCAUCAACGCAAGCGCGUACAGCAGAUUGGACCAGGCCUGAGAUGUUGCGCGGGCCAUGGCGCCCGACUGCGUUGCUGCGUCCACCGCUGCUGAAACCCACUGCCGCUGCUCGGCCGGCGCCUCCGGGCCCGCCCCAAAUCCCAUCUUGGCUAGGGCCCACGCUGAGUUGCUGAGGUCCUGAGCGAUGUACCCGUCAAACCCCCGCCGCAUGUCCUCUUCGGCCACUGCCACCACCAGCUCUGCCUGCUCGCUGCAUAGCUGCAGCCCCUCCAGCGCCAGCAGGAUGUUGGAUAGCUGUUGCGGGAUAAAUGCUGCAGCGAGCUCCGGUUUCCGGAGCUGCUGCAGUGCCUCCCCGCACAGCGCCUCAACUGCUGACCGGUACUCUGGUCCUGUGCACCCCAGAGCUUUGAGAGCCCAUAGGCUGUUUGAAACAUCUUGCGGCUUGAAGCCGUGGCCCGCCACCGUUCUCAAGCGAGAAGCCACAGCUGCCGCCAAGGUCUGCAAGUGCGGAGAUGAGGUGGGGUCCCAGCCUGAGCCCCGCUGCUGCUGGUCUUGCUUGAGCUUGCCGAGCGCGUACAUGACAAUUGCGAGGUUCUGAGGUUCCGCCUUCCCAAGAACCUCAGGAUCCACUAGCCGCUCCAGCAGAGCUGCUGCAAGCUGAGCCUCCGUGCCGCCGCCGACCAAUCCAGCUUUGCCCAGCGCCCACAGCGGAAUGCUGCAGUUCUUUGCGUUGCGGAUGCGCGGCACGAGCGGCAGGUAGGCCGGCGCAAGCAUGCCGAUAAUGCUGCUGCGUGCUACAGCCGUUUGGCUUGCUCCAGCGCGCGACUCCAGCUGCGUUCAAAGCAGUUAUGAGGGACAUACAUGGGGUCAAGUGCUAUAUGCAUGUGUUUGUGCGUGUGCGUGAACAGGUGCGCAUGCAAGUCCUGUGUGGCCAUCUGCGUCGUGAGAACCGGAAGUCCGGGCCGAGAACGACAACAAUGGACUCGCCCUCCAUUCUGCACUUCAUUUCUGUGCCCAUUCCCACCUGCACGUAUUAGUCCUCCCUCUCACCUUGCCGCACAGGUUGAACGCCGCACACAUGGUAAUGAAGUCUUUUCGGCCCUCCCACACUGAUAGCCGCUGGCUGAUGAUUGCUUGCAGCUCCUCCAGAGUCCGACACACGGUCAUGUCAUCCGCGGGGUCACGCCCGCUGCCCCUGCUUCUGCCGCUGGCGCGGCUGCCAUCGCCUGCCCUGCCUCCGCCGCUUCCCCUACCCGCCGCCGCCUGCACUAUUGGCCGCCCGAGGCGGGAGCUACUGCUGCCGCAGAGCACUACCGCCGUCGAGACGCGCAGUGGGGAUGAGCUGCUACUGUUGAGUGCUGGGACAGAAGUAGCGGCGGCAGCGCGCGGUGAGCUGGGGCCGGUGUCGGCAGCGGUCCGAUGCAUGCCAUAAACGAACAGUCUUCUAAACGCGCACGCCGGUGGCGGUGCCUGGAGACGGGCUGAUAACGAUUGGCUACAGCCAUGUACGCUGUGCCUGUGCGCACCAGCGGGAGAGCCCGCGACGACGCGCAGGGCGAGCAUCUCGGGCCUCCUCACGGCGGCGACCUGAGCUAUAGCGACUCUAUCCGUCUACGUGUCUGAGCACUGCAAAUGCAUUAGGCUUGCAUUUGUGGGAGAAUAACGCAAGGAACGAAAGGUCAGGUGCGUGUAGGUCGCUGGGCCAAAGCCGCCUGAGUAGCUGUGGCUUGGUAUGGAUGAUAAAGCAACUGAAUCAAUUUGCCACCGGUGUUGAGGCGAGGGCGACCUGACCGCGAAAUACACGGCCCGAGGGCACGCCCCGUAUCAACACCCCUCGCGACCUCCAAACACGUGCACUGAACCGCGAAGCCCUCCCCCAAGCCUAUCGCGGCUGCUAUUCCCAUGUCCUCCUCCCCAACCAUUCUGCAUACAGGCUCUGGCGUGAGUCCCUGCCCGCGUCAUUUGACACCCGUCGACCACGACUGAGGUGCAACGCAUGUCGCUUACAAAUCCAACAUCCCGCCCGACACGAGAGGGGCAGAAACGGCGGGGCAGACGGCCAGCCUCUUGAACAUGAGCAUAGCAGUGCAAUAUCGCACAUUGGGUCCCCGCCUGCUUCACCUGGCCACCUUUGCUGAUUUGUCUGACAUCCCUGUCUACACACUUUUAUCCGCCCACGCUUGAGACGUCCUCCUCAGCGCGCAGGCUUCACGGUACCAACCGUGCGGUAUCAUCGCUACAUGAUGAGUGCACUGCCCCAACCAUUGAAGCAUCACAAGGUGCUUGCCUGCCGCCGCCGCCGCUGAUACGUACACGAUUGCUGCCACACAACCAACACAUCACACCCAACAAUCACAACAACAAAACAACUGAGACCCGCCGCCGUGCAACGCACACUGUACACGCCCCAGGGCCGAGAACACAACGCAACACAAGCACCUGACAUGCCUCAUCCAGGCAUGCGUCACUCAAUCGCCCACCGAGCCGACCUCGCACACGCCGUUCGUGAGCCCCUGCGGCUGACAUGCCCGGCCCUGCCCCCUUGGCACCGCAGCCCUGCCGCCUUGGCACCGCCGCCCAUUGCCCCACCCCCAUGCUGCGUGCCAUGUAAGAAUAAAGCCAGGUCCCCAUCAAGCCGCAGCAUAUAUCCCCGCCAAGCCACCAGACUCCUCUUGCCGCACGCUACCAACCACCACCAGCACAGGACCGGCACCUGCCUGUCCCCCUGUUUAGUUUGGGCUGAUAUUUACAACCCCCCACCCUCCCCUCCCCACCUUCCCCAUUGCCAACCUCGCCCACCGCGCCGACAUGCACGCCGGCACCUCGCUCGUGCCUCUCGAGGCCUCCCAUCUUCCGUAGCUAGAGAUCCCUGUCCACGAGUAUCCACUUGGGCUCCAGCCCACUCCUGAUGCACACGCCGGCAUUACCCAGGUCUGCAUGGUUUGCAUGCCUGCCUGUCUACCGUGCACGCACACCUGCCUAGCUACGCAGACCUACUACCGUCCUUUUUGACCCGCCUCCGCCGCCACCGCCGCCGUCUCCUCCCUCUGGCCGCCGUGCCGGCCGCGCCAGCAGCUGCUGUUGUGGGUUGCCGCCAGAGCCGCCGCCGCCCUUGUUGCUGUUGGUGGUGGUGGUUGCGGGCUGGUGUGGCGCGGCCGUAGUGACAGCCGCAGCGCCGCCCACGGCACCCGCUGUCACUGUUUCCACCGCCACCGCCGGCUGCUGCAGCCGGCGCAGCAGGUAGGCCUCCUGCUCGGAAGGAGUCAGGAAGUCCCAUUCCCAGUACGGCACUAGUAGGACGCCGCCCUCCUUAAACGCCCGCCGCAGCUGCCGAAUGCGAAUGGCCGUACCCCCUUCCACAGCAGCGCUGGGGUCUUGCUGCUGCGUUUGUGUCAAGAGGUAACGUUUCGGUCCGAGGAACUCCACCGCCGCCUGCUGCCCGUCACUCAGCCGCACCACCGCAUCCACUGGCGCCAACACUCCUGGCGCGACAACGCCCGUCUGAAGGGACUGAACGGCUAGGCCCCCUGCUGCCUUGAGGCCCUGCUGCUCAAGCCGCCGCAGCGCUGCAACGACCUGCUUUUGAGUAUCUGAUGUGGGCUUGGCGUCUUCCCUCUCAGUAGUCACCGCCGCUGCCAUCGCCGCCUGCAGUCCGCUGCCGCUGCCCAGGGCCGCCGCCACCUCGCCGCCUAGCUCCUGCUGCGCCUGCCACAGCUGUUUGAGAUGCUCAGUUGUAAGACCCUCCCAACGGCUUACUGCUUCACGGGCCAGCUGAAUGGAUAGCUGCUUCAUGUCGGGAGAAUACGUGCCUCCGAACACAGCCAUGGCCCACAGGCUGUUGCAUACGUGCUGGUGCAGGACUGUGUCAGAGUCAUGCUGCAGCAGCUCGCCCAGCCGACCGCACACCGCCGCCUCCAAGCCAGCGUGCCGCAGCUGCAGCACCGCCAGCGCGUACAGCGUAUUGGCACAGUUCUGACCACCGGCACUACUGGCGCGCAUGGCUGCUACUGCUGCGCCCGAGUCAAGCAGCUCCGCCGGCGGCUGGUGGCGCAUCAACGCAAGCGCGUACAGCAGAUUGGACCAGGCCUGAGAUGUUGCGCGGGCCAUGGCGCCCGACUGCGUUGCUGCGUCCACCGCUGCUGAAACCCACUGCCGCUGCUCGGCCGGCGCCUCCGGGCCCGCCCCAAAUCCCAUCUUGGCUAGGGCCCACGCUGAGUUGCUGAGGUCCUGAGCGAUGUACCCGUCAAACCCCCGCCGCACGUCCUCUGCGGCCACUGCCACCACCAGCUCUGCCUGCUCGCUGCAUAGCUGCAGCCCCUCCAGCGCCAGCAGGAUGUUGGAUAGCUGUUGCGGGAUAAAUGCUGCAGCGAGCUCCGGUUUCCGGAGCCGCUGCAGUGCCUCCCCGCACAGCGCCUCAACUGCUGACCGGUACUCUGGUCCUGUGCACCCCAGAGCUUUGAGAGCCCAUAGGCUGUUUGAAACAUCUUGCGGCUUGAAGCCGUGGCCCGCCACCGUUCUCAAGCGAGAAGCCACAGCUGCCGCCAAGGUCUGCAAGUGUGGCGAUGAGGUGGGGUCCCAGCCUGAGCCCCGCUGCUGCUGGUCUUGCUUGAGCUUGCCGAGCGCGUACAUGACAAUUGCGAGGUUCUGAGGUUCCGCCUUCCCAAGAACCUCAGGAUCCACUAGCCGCUCCAGCAGAGCUGCUGCAAGCUGAGCCUCCGUGCCGCCGCCGACCAAUCCAGCUUUGCCCAGCGCCCACAGCGGAAUGCUGCAGUUCUUUGCGUUGCGGAUGCGCGGCACGAGCGGCAGGUAGGCCGGCGCAAGCAUGCCGAUAAUGCUGCUGCGUGCUACAGCCGUUUGGCUUGCUCCAGCGCGCGACUCCAGCUGCGUUCAAAGCAGUUAUGAGGGACAUACAUGGGGUCAAGUGCUAUAUGCAUGUGUUUGUGCGUGUGCGUGAACAGGUGCGCAUGCAAGUCCUGUGUGGCCAUCUGCGUCGUGAGAACCGGAAGUCCGGGCCGAGAACGACAACAAUGGACUCGCCCUCCAUUCUGCACUUCAUUUCUGUGCCCAUUCCCACCUGCACGUAUUAGUCCUCCCUCUCACCUUGCCGCACAGGUUGAACGCCGCACACAUGGUAAUGAAGUCUUUUCGGCCCUCCCACACUGAUAGCCGCUGGCUGAUGAUUGCUUGCAGCUCCUCCAGAGUCCGACACACGGUCAUGUCAUCCGCGGGGUCACGCCCGCUGCCCCUGCUUCUGCCGCUGGCGCGGCUGCCAUCGCCUGCCCUGCCUCCGCCGCUUCCCCUACCCNNNNNNNNNNNNNNNNNNNNNNNNNNNNNNNNNNNNNNNNNNNNNNNNNNNNNNNNNNNNNNNNNNNNNNNNNNNNNNNNNNNNNNNNNNNNNNNNNNNNGAGAAUAACGCAAGGAACGAAAGGUCAGGUGCGUGUAGGUCGCUGGGCCAAAGCCGCCUGAGUAGCUGUGGCUUGGUAUGGAUGAUAAAGCAACUGAAUCAAUUUGCCACCGGUGUUGAGGCGAGGGCGACCUGACCGCGAAAUACACGGCCCGAGGGCACGCCCCGUAUCAACACCCCUCGCGACCUCCAAACACGUGCACUGAACCGCGAAGCCCUCCCCCAAGCCUAUCGCGGCUGCUAUUCCCAUGUCCUCCUCCCCAACCAUUCUGCAUACAGGCUCUGGCGUGAGUCCCUGCCCGCGUCAUUUGACACCCGUCGACCACGACUGAGGUGCAACGCAUGUCGCUUACAAAUCCAACAUCCCGCCCGACACGAGAGGGGCAGAAACGGCGGGGCAGACGGCCAGCCUCUUGAACAUGAGCAUAGCAGUGCAAUAUCGCACAUUGGGUCCCCGCCUGCUUCACCUGGCCACCUUUGCUGAUUUGUCUGACAUCCCUGUCUACACACUUUUAUCCGCCCACGCUUGAGACGUCCUCCUCAGCGCGCAGGCUUCACGGUACCAACCGUGCGGUAUCAUCGCUACAUGAUGAGUGCACUGCCCCAACCAUUGAAGCAUCACAAGGUGCUUGCCUGCCGCCGCCGCCGCUGAUACGUACACGAUUGCUGCCACACAACCAACACAUCACACCCAACAAUCACAACAACAAAACAACUGAGACCCGCCGCCGUGCAACGCACACUGUACACGCCCCAGGGCCGAGAACACAACGCAACACAAGCACCUGACAUGCCUCAUCCAGGCAUGCGUCACUCAAUCGCCCACCGAGCCGACCUCGCACACGCCGUUCGUGAGCCCCUGCGGCUGACAUGCCCGGCCCUGCCCCCUUGGCACCGCAGCCCUGCCGCCUUGGCACCGCCGCCCAUUGCCCCACCCCCAUGCUGCGUGCCAUGUAAGAAUAAAGCCAGGUCCCCAUCAAGCCGCAGCAUAUAUCCCCGCCAAGCCACCAGACUCCUCUUGCCGCACGCUACCAACCACCACCAGCACAGGACCGGCACCUGCCUGUCCCCCUGUUUAGUUUGGGCUGAUAUUUACAACCCCCCACCCUCCCCUCCCCACCUUCCCCAUUGCCAACCUCGCCCACCGCGCCGACAUGCACGCCGGCACCUCGCUCGUGCCUCUCGAGGCCUCCCAUCUUCCGUAGCUAGAGAUCCCUGUCCACGAGUAUCCACUUGGGCUCCAGCCCACUCCUGAUGCACACGCCGGCAUUACCCAGGUCUGCAUGGUUUGCAUGCCUGCCUGUCUACCGUGCACGCACACCUGCCUAGCUACGCAGACCUACUACCGUCCUUUUUGACCCGCCUCCGCCGCCACCGCCGCCGUCUCCUCCCUCUGGCCGCCGUGCCGGCCGCGCCAGCAGCUGCUGUUGUGGGUUGCCGCCAGAGCCGCCGCCGCCCUUGUUGCUGUUGGUGGUGGUGGUUGCGGGCUGGUGUGGCGCGGCCGUAGUGACAGCCGCAGCGCCGCCCACGGCACCCGCUGUCACUGUUUCCACCGCCACCGCCGGCUGCUGCAGCCGGCGCAGCAGGUAGGCCUCCUGCUCGGAAGGAGUCAGGAAGUCCCAUUCCCAGUACGGCACUAGUAGGACGCCGCCCUCCUUAAACGCCCGCCGCAGCUGCCGAAUGCGAAUGGCCGUACCCCCUUCCACAGCAGCGCUGGGGUCUUGCUGCUGCGUUUGUGUCAAGAGGUAACGUUUCGGUCCGAGGAACUCCACCGCCGCCUGCUGCCCGUCACUCAGCCGCACCACCGCAUCCACUGGCGCCAACACUCCUGGCGCGACAACGCCC